Non-coding RNA from Styela clava, 1229 nucleotides. The record is from RefSeq and is a predicted model, not a curated record. Lineage: Eukaryota; Metazoa; Chordata; Ascidiacea; Stolidobranchia; Styelidae.
AAUGUGAAAAGGGGUGACAUACAUUGGAAUGAACCCAUAAUAUGAUUCAUUUGGCGUAGUUUUAAAAUAUAGGUGCUGUAAUUGUUUACUGAUAAUGCUGUCCUAGGUACUUCGGAAUGAAGUUUCUGUGGUGUUUGUUCCAAUCAGAUUAACCUGCAUGAGAACCCAAUAUGUUGCAUUUGCGUAGAAUGGGUCAUUGGGGAACGAUUUGACACGUCACUUAAUUCAACUAAUGCAUUUUCAUAAUAUAUUUUUCCGCGAAAGAAAUGUGCGAUAUUCACACCAGUAUACUAACUGUUCCCAUGCAGAUUUAUGUUGAUGAAAUAUUGCUUUGAGUAUAUUUAAUAUACUAUGCAUGUGUAUAAAUCACGGCGCCGCGUGAACACUGGAAAUGCGUCACGUCAUUAUUACUCCCGUAGUAUAAUACAACAAGCAAUUUUCGCGCGCCAUGACAUGUUCAGGCGCAUUGUAUACGUUAAACGUUUGGUAUGCUCUUUUCUGACCUAGAACAGCAUGUAUGCUAGGAAUACGUCUUUUUGAAUUGUUUUCCCACAAUUUUAUGGUAUUGUUAUGACCCAGAUGUUACAAUUUCGACUAUACCGUAUGGCACUUGCAUGUUUUGAUGUUACACUAAUUCAUCAUGAACGAUUCCAGUACUUGACGCGGUUCUUCGGCCCUGAAAACGAUACGGAGGAAGGAAAAUGUAAUUGGAUCGCCAAAAGAUGCUGCGACGCAAUCGACGAUAAAACUGACUAACUCGGGAAGUCAUCUUCGACUUAUAUAUCAACCAUGCCUGAAGUAAUGUUAAAGUGAACUUGUGAAGAAGCAUCAUGAUGGGGAUGCUUGUGAUGAUCCAAUAAUGAAGUUGGAGUAUUUUUCUCCAGAAUUCGUACAUAUUUUUAAAAUACGUGAAUAAAAUAACAAGUUGAAUCUCAGAUUUGAUGAUAGCGAAUCAUUCAUUACCUUCUCCAAGCAGCCGUAUCCAGGUUGGAAACGAAUGCGCUAGUAAUCACCCCAUGUCAUUGAAAGCACUUUAUUUUUGGGACUAUACCUCAAGUGUGCUGACUUUGUUAAAACAUUUACUGCCAAUUACCACAUAAUAUAUCGCGUUUCAUUGUAUAAAUUUUAUCUCAAUAAGAAGCACAUAUUGAACGUAUAACCUAAUGGAGAUCAGAGCGUUAUAUCAUUAUUUGGGAGGUCCUAAUACAAAUAAAUUGCAUUCAUUCAAA